RNAcentral lists this long non-coding RNA (876 nucleotides) under Nicotiana benthamiana. RNAcentral's name for it is "long non-coding RNA (NBEN_LNC006127)". Lineage: Eukaryota; Viridiplantae; Streptophyta; Magnoliopsida; Solanales; Solanaceae. The record is from RNAcentral.
CCAGGACGCCCCAGAAAAGUAUUGGAGUGAACUUAAUGAGCCUAGAGAAUUCCAAGUACAAUUUCCCGCUUGGCUUCCACCAUUUGUAGACAUCAGACUGCAGAAUUUAGAUAAAACAGUAAGCACAUAUCAGGAUUUUCCCCCCAACCAAAACGAGCACAAAAGCAAGAACAAUAUGAAGAUAAAAAGUAUGACAACCAAGGAUUUUUUUUCCCCAACCAAAACGAGCACAAAAGCAAGAACAAUAUGAAGAUAAAAGUAUCACAACCAAGACGGCGAUCGACAGUUACUUUACUGAGGAAAAUUCUGAAAAGACAAUAAUGAAGCACACACGAGAAAAGGAGUUUCUCCAAACCACUUUAGCAACAUGAUUGAGCACAUACCAGGAUAUUUUUUUCAACCAAAACGAGCACAAAAGCAAGAACAAUAUGAAGAUAAAAGUAUCACAGCCAAGAGGGAGAUUGACAGUUACUUUACUGAGGAAAAUUCUGAAAAGACAAUAAUGAAGCACACACAAGAAAAGGAGUUUCUCCAAACCACAUUAGCAACAUGAUUACAAAAUAAUACCACAAAUCAGAAACAAGAGAAGCUUGACAUCCCAGUUGUGAACUCUACCCAAGGAGCCAAUGCUUGGGAAAUUAUCACCACGUGCAAGGGUAUGAUCUUUCCUUAAAGAGUGCAAAGUAUAAUAAAAUCAAACAAGAUUUCCUCAGACAAAAUAUAUAUCAAAGAUAUGAAAACUGAGUAUCUUAAUACCUUGCAUGCAAAUUUCAGUCCUCACUUAAAUUUUAAAGACCUCGCCAGCAUUGAAGCACAAGAAAAUUGAAGUGAAUAACCGGCAACUAAGAAAACCAAAAACGAAGAAAAUAUCACCUG